AUUGAACGCUGGCGGCAGGCCUAACACAUGCAAGUCGAACGGAGUGGCGGACGGGUGAGUAAUGUCUGGGAAACUGCCUGGUAGUGGGGGAUCACGUCGGGAAACGGGCGCUAAUACCGCAUACUAUCGGAUGAGCCUAGGGCGGAUUAGCUAGUGGGUGGGGGAAGGGCCUACCAAGGCGACGAUCCGUAACUGGUCUGAGAGGAUGAUCAGUCACACUGGAACUGAGACACGGUCCAGACUCCUACGGGAGGCAGCAGUAGGGAAGAUUGGACAAUGGGCGAAAGCCUGAUCCAGCCAUGCCGCGUGUGUGAAGAAGGUCUUCGGAUUGUAAAGCACUUUAAGUUGGGAGGCGUUACCAACAGAAUAAGCACCGGCUAACUUCGUGUCAGCAGCCGCGGUAAUAC
This 407-nucleotide ribosomal RNA is filed under the name uncultured bacterium. Its description in RNAcentral is "partial 16S ribosomal RNA". It matches the Rfam family "Bacterial small subunit ribosomal RNA", at positions 30 to 526 of the family's 1533-position model. The record is from RNAcentral.